RNAcentral lists this transfer RNA (69 nucleotides) under Abudefduf taurus (night sergeant). Its description in RNAcentral is "tRNA-His". It matches the Rfam family "tRNA". Rfam says of the family: Transfer RNA (tRNA) molecules are approximately 80 nucleotides in length. Their secondary structure includes four short double-helical elements and three loops (D, anti-codon, and T loops). Lineage: Eukaryota; Metazoa; Chordata; Actinopteri; Pomacentridae. The record is from RNAcentral. RNAcentral also lists the same sequence under 8 other names.
GUAGACUUAGUUUAACAAAAACAUUAGAUUGUGAUUCUAAAGACGGGGGUUAAAAUCCCCUUGUCCACC